This 479-nucleotide ribosomal RNA is filed under the name uncultured organism. RNAcentral describes it as "partial 16S ribosomal RNA". It matches the Rfam family "Bacterial small subunit ribosomal RNA", at positions 331 to 801 of the family's 1533-position model. The record is from RNAcentral.
GUACACUCCUACGGGAGGCAGCAGUGGGGAAUUUUGGACAAUGGGCGAAAGCCUGAUCCAGCAAUGCCGCGUGAGUGAAGAAGGCCUUCGGGUUGUAAAGCUCUUUUGUCAGGGAAGAAACGGUGAAAGCUAAUAUCUUUUGCUAAUGACGGUACCUGAAGAAUAAGCACCGGCUAACUACGUGCCAGCAGCCGCGGUAAUACGUAGGGUGCAAGCGUUAAUCGGAAUUACUGGGCGUAAAGCGUGCGCAGGCGGUUUUGUAAGUCUGAUGUGAAAUCCCCGGGCUCAACAUGGGAAUUGCAUUGGAGACUGCAAGGCUAGAAUCUGGCAGAGGGGGGUAGAAUUCCACGUGUAGCAGUGAAAUGCGUAGAUAUGUGGAGGAACACCGAUGGCGAAGGCAGCCCCCUGGGUCAAGAUUGACGCUCAUGCACGAAAGCGUGGGGAGCAAACAGGAUUAGAAACCCCGGUAGUCCCAUGAU